Molecule: ribosomal RNA, 468 nt
Filed under: uncultured bacterium
Lineage: Bacteria
Description: partial 16S ribosomal RNA
Rfam family: Bacterial small subunit ribosomal RNA
Source: RNAcentral
GACGAACGCUGGCGGCGUGCUUAACACAUGCAAGUCGAACGGAAAGGCCCUGCUUUUGUGGGGUGCUCGAGUGGCGAACGGGUGAGUAACACGUGAGUAACCUGCCCUUGACUUUGGGAUAACUUCAGGAAACUGGGGCUAAUACCGGAUAGGAGCUCCUGCUGCAUGGUGGGGGUUGGAAAGUUUCGGCGGUUGGGGAUGGACUCGCGGCUUAUCAGCUUGUUGGUGGGGUAGUGGCUUACCAAGGCUUUGGCGGGUAGCCGGCCUGAGAGGGUGACCGGGCACAUUGGGACUGAGAUACGGACCAGACUCCUACGGGAGGCAGCAGUGGGGAAUAUUGCACAAUGGGCGGAAGCCUGAUGCAGCAACGCCGCGUGCGGGAUGACGGCCUUCGGGUUGUAAACCGCUUUCGCCUGUGACGAAGCGGGAGUGACGGUAAUGGGUAAAGAAGCACCGGCUAACUACGUG